RNAcentral lists this ribosomal RNA (873 nucleotides) under uncultured Lactobacillus sp. RNAcentral describes it as "bacterial SSU rRNA". It matches the Rfam family "Bacterial small subunit ribosomal RNA", at positions 639 to 1513 of the family's 1533-position model. The record is from RNAcentral. Lineage: Bacteria; Bacillati; Bacillota; Bacilli; Lactobacillales; Lactobacillaceae.
GACUUGAGUGCAGAAGAGGACAGUGGAACUCCAUGUGUAGCGGUGGAAUGCGUAGAUAUAUGGAAGAACACCAGUGGCGAAGGCGGCUGUCUAGUCUGUAACUGACGCUGAGGCUCGAAAGCAUGGGUAGCGAACAGGAUUAGAUACCCUGGUAGUCCAUGCCGUAAACGAUGAGUGCUAAGUGUUGGAGGGUUUCCCCCUUCAGUGCUGCAGCUAACGCAUUAAGCACUCCGCCUGGGGAGUACGACCGCAAGGUUGAAACUCAAAGGAAUUGACGGGGGCCCGCACAAGCGGUGGAGCAUGUGGUUUAAUUCGAAGCUACGCGAAGAACCUUACCAGGUCUUGACAUCUUCUGCCAAUCUUAGAGAUAAGACGUUCCCUUCGGGGACAGAAUGACAGGUGGUGCAUGGUUGUCGUCAGCUCGUGUCGUGAGAUGUUGGGUUAAGUCCCGCAACGAGCGCAACCCUUAUUAUCAGUUGCCAGCAUUCAGUUGGGCACUCUGGUGAGACUGCCGGUGACAAACCGGAGGAAGGUGGGGAUGACGUCAAAUCAUCAUGCCCCUUAUGACCUGGGCUACACACGUGCUACAAUGGACGGUACAACGAGUCGCGAAGUCGUGAGGCUAAGCUAAUCUCUUAAAGCCGUUCUCAGUUCGGAUUGUAGGCUGCAACUCGCCUACACGAAGUUGGAAUCGCUAGUAAUCGCGGAUCAGCAUGCCGCGGUGAAUACGUUCCCGGGCCUUGUACACACCGCCCGUCACACCAUGAGAGUUUGUAACACCCAAAGCCGGUGAGAUAACCUUCGGGAGUCAGCCGUCUAAGGUGGGACAGAUGAUUAGGGUGAAGUCGUAACAAGGUAACCAAGGGCGAAUCG